RNAcentral lists this ribosomal RNA (497 nucleotides) under uncultured bacterium. RNAcentral's name for it is "partial 16S ribosomal RNA". It matches the Rfam family "Bacterial small subunit ribosomal RNA", at positions 28 to 507 of the family's 1533-position model. The record is from RNAcentral.
GAUGAACGCUGGCGGCGUGCCUAAUACAUGCAAGUCGAGCGAACAGACGAGGCGCUUGCUCCUCUGACGUUAGCGGCGGACGGGUGAGUAACACGUGGAUAACCUACCUAUAAGACUGGGAUAACUUCGGGAAACCGGAGCUAAUACCGGAUAAUAUAUUGAACCGCAUGGUUCAAUAGUGAAAGACGGUUUUGCUGUCACUUAUAGAUGGAUCCGCGCCGCAUUAGCUAGUUGGUACGGUAACGGCUUACCAAGGCGACGAUGCGUAGCCGACCUGAGAGGGUGGUAGGCCACACUGGAACUGAGACACGGUCCAGACUCCUACGGGAGGCAGCAGUAGGGAAUCUUCCGCAAUGGGCGAGAGUCUGACGGAGCAACGCCGCGUGAGUGAUGAAGGUCUUCGGAUCGUAAAACUCUGUUAUUAGGGAAGAACAAAUGUGUAAGUAACUAUGCACGUCUUGACGGUACCUAAUCAGAAAGCCACGGCUAACUACGUG